RNAcentral lists this ribosomal RNA (478 nucleotides) under uncultured bacterium. Its description in RNAcentral is "partial 16S ribosomal RNA". It matches the Rfam family "Bacterial small subunit ribosomal RNA", at positions 28 to 523 of the family's 1533-position model. The record is from RNAcentral.
GACGAACGCUGGCGGCGUGCUUAACACAUGCAAGUCGAACGGUAAGGCCCUUCGGGGUACACGAGUGGCGAACGGGUGAGUAACACGUGGGUGAUCUGCCCUGCACUUCGGGAUAAGCCUGGGAAACUGAGUCUAAUACCGGAUAGGACCACUGCCUGCAUGGGUGGUGGUGGAAAGCUUUUGCGGUGUGGGAUGGGCCCGCGGCCUAUCAGCGUGUUGGUGGGGUGAUGGCCUACCAAGGCGACGACGGGUAGCCGGCCUGAGAGGGUGACCGGCCACACUGGUACUGAGAUACGGCCCAGACUCCUACGGGAGGCAGCAGUGGGGAAUAUUGCACAAUGGGCGCAAGCCUGAUGCAGCGACGCCGCGUGAGGGAUGACGGCCUUCGGGUUGUAAACCUCUUUCAGCACCGACGAAGCGCAAGUGACGGUAGGUGCAGAAGAAGGACCGGCCAACUACGUGCCAGCCGCCGCCGUAA